AACGAACGCUGGCGGCGUGGAUAAGACAUGCAAGUCGAGCGCUGAUUUCAGGGUAGCAAUAUUCUGAAGUUGGAGCGGCGCAAGGGUGCGUAACACGUGGGUAAUCUGCCGUGAAGUUGGGGAUAACUCGCUGAAAGGCGAGCUAAUACCGAAUGUGAAAAUCGAAAGGCAUCUUUUGAUUUUUAAAGUUGGGGAUCGUAAGACCUGACGCUUCAUGAUGAACCCGCGGCCUAUCAGCUAGUUGGUGAGGUAACGGCUCACCAAGGCUAAGACGGGUAGCUGGUCUGAGAGGACGACCAGCCACACUGGAACUGAGACACGGUCCAGACACCUACGGGUGGCAGCAGUCGAGAAUUUUUCACAAUGGGCGAAAGCCUGAUGGAGCGACGCCGCGUGGGGAUGAUGGCUUCGCCCGUAACCCCUGUCAUUGCGAACAACCUUAACCGGUUAACGAACCGGUGAGCUGAUUGUAGCGGAAGAGGAAGGGACGGCUAACUC
RNAcentral lists this ribosomal RNA (498 nucleotides) under uncultured bacterium. Its description in RNAcentral is "bacterial SSU rRNA". It matches the Rfam family "Bacterial small subunit ribosomal RNA", at positions 29 to 503 of the family's 1533-position model. The record is from RNAcentral.